GGAAGUAAAAGUCGUAAACAAGGUCUCCGUUGGUGAACCAGCGGAGGGAUCAUUACCGAGUUUACAACUCCCAAACCCCUGUGAACAUACCUAUACGUUGCCUCGGCGGAUCAGCCCGCGCCCCGUAAAACGGGACGGCCCGCCCGAGGACCCCUAAACUCUGUUUUUAGUGGAACUUCUGAGUAAAACAAACAAAUAAAUCAAAACUUCCAACAACGGAUCUCUUGGUUCUGGCAUCGAUGAAGAACGCAGCAAAAUGCGAUAAGUAAUGUGAAUUGCAGAAUUCAGUGAAUCAUCGAAUCUUUGAACGCACAUUGCGCCCGCCAGUAUUCUGGCGGGCAUGCCUGUUCGAGCGUCAUUUCAACCCUCAAGCUCAGCUUGGUGUUGGGACUCGCGGUAACCCGCGUUCCCCAAAUCGAUUGGCGGUCACGUCGAGCUUCCAUAGCGUAGUAAUCAUACACCUCGGUACUGGUAAUCGUCGCGGCCACGCCGUUAAACCCCAACUUCUGAAUGUUGACCUCGGAUCAGGUAGGAAUACCCGCUGAACUUAAGCAUAUCAAUAAGCGGAGGAAAAGAAACCAACAGGGAUUGCCCUAGUAACG
This 602-nucleotide ribosomal RNA is filed under the name uncultured Ascomycota. RNAcentral describes it as "partial 18S ribosomal RNA". The stretch from base 205 to 358 matches the Rfam family "5.8S ribosomal RNA". The record is from RNAcentral. Lineage: Eukaryota; Fungi; Ascomycota.